This 478-nucleotide long non-coding RNA is filed under the name Elaeis guineensis (African oil palm). Its description in RNAcentral is "long non-coding RNA (EGUI_LNC079152)". Lineage: Eukaryota; Viridiplantae; Streptophyta; Magnoliopsida; Arecales; Arecaceae. The record is from RNAcentral.
UCAAGAAUAAUAUUAAUUUUAAUAAUAUUAUUAAAAAUAAUAAUAUUAUUAAUAUUUUUACUAAUUUAAUAAUAUUAAUUAAAUAUUAUAGUUAAAUAAAAAUCUUAAUAAAUUAAAUAAAUCAAUACCUAAUUAAUUAAUUAAAUAUAUAAUUAAAAUUAAUUAAUAUAUUAAAAUAAAAAAAAUUUUAGCGACAGCAAUAGCACCAUCACUGAUACUCAUAGUGUGACAGUGCGUGUCUGAAGGUGCGGUGCUCUGAUGACUGGAUGCUUCGAUGGUUGGGUGCUUCAAAGGAGGGAGGUGGGGCUGCAAAUCCGAUCUGGCAAGGAAAAGGAUGAGAGUAAAAGAAUUAUGCCCUACAAACCAAUCACAUAUGAGAUACGAUAGGGUGUAUUUUAUAAUUUAUCUUUCAAACUCAUAUAAUUGAUAUUUAUUUUAAUAAAAUAGAUAUUUUUGAUUCAUUAUAUGCUGCAUCUUG